Molecule: ribosomal RNA, 484 nt
Filed under: uncultured bacterium
Lineage: Bacteria
Description: bacterial SSU rRNA
Rfam family: Bacterial small subunit ribosomal RNA
Source: RNAcentral
GACGAACGCUGGCGGCGUGCCUAACACAUGCAAGUCGAACGGAGGCGGGAGUUAGGAUUGAGGGAACAAAAAAUUGCGCCCUGAAUCCUGAUUCCUUGCCUAAGUGGCGGACGGGUGAGUAACGCGUGAGUAACCUGCCUUUUUGAGGGGGAUAACAUCGGGAAACCGAUGCUAAUACCGCAUAAAAUAUGAAAUUCGCAUGAGUUUUAUAUCAAAGGAGCAAUCCGCAAAAAGAUGGACUCGCGUCCGAUUAGCCAGUUGGCGGGGUAAAGGCCCACCAAAGCAACGAUCGGUAGCCGGGUUGAGAGACUGAACGGCCACAUUGGGACUGAGACACGGCCCAGACUCCUACGGGAGGCAGCAGUGGGGGAUAUUGCACAAUGGGGGAAACCCUGAUGCAGCAACGCCGCGUGAGGGAAGAAGGUUUUCGGAUUGUAAACCUCUGUCCAAAGGGAAGAAAAAGAUGACGGUACCUUGGAGGAAG